Molecule: long non-coding RNA, 4830 nt
Filed under: Salmo salar (Atlantic salmon)
Lineage: Eukaryota; Metazoa; Chordata; Actinopteri; Salmoniformes; Salmonidae
Description: lncRNA (ENSSSAG00000088882.1)
Source: RNAcentral
UUUAUCACCAGUUUGCCUUGUCAGGAUGGAUUUCAUAUAGGUAGCGUAUCGUGCUCUUUUGCUGUUGAUUUCGAAACUGGAAAAUAUUCGCUUUUUUUAUCUGAAUUCUCAUCUUUCAACCGCCUCAUCUUUACUUGAGUAAUACGUCUGUGUUCUAAGGGACCAUUUGUGUUUAAGUGUGACAGUAUGACUAUAUAGGCUUUUUAUACGUUUAAAAACGGUCUGUAAAAUUAUCUUUCGGGACCUAAAGUGUUAAUUUCCCCCCCUCCGUUGGCCAUAGAAGAGAACGCUGCGUGGGCUGCAAGAUCAUUUGAGAGUGCAUUUUGUUUCUCCUCCAAUCCGCUACACAGAGCUCAAUCCCGAUAUGCCCAAUGGGGAGAAGGGGUGGCUCUAACGAAUUUGAAUGAAGAGAGUAUCUUUCGGCGCCAUUUUCGAGUUAGCUGCGUUUGCUUCAACAGCUGUGAGGAGCGGCUGCUGAGAGUAGGCAAGUCAAGCGCUGGAGCUGUCGAAAGAGAAGAUAAUUAUUUCCAGACACUCAAAAAAUAUCACAAACAUAUAAAAAUUAUCCCGGAAAAAGAACACCGAUGGAUGGUGGACGAGUUAAAGGAAAAUAAGUGAAAGAGUACGUCGUAUGGACCGGUGGAGACGUUAGAUGGUUAGCUAGUGAAUGCUAGCGAGAAGAAAGGGGUGUCUGACUUGGCUACCUUGAGAAAUGCAACAUUUAGAAAUACAUUUGCGACAAAUUAGUGGACCUUUCUAAAAAUAAUUUAAAAAAUUGAGAAAUUAUUUCAGGGUCAAGUGAGUGGAGUAUGACCGGUACAAUGUGGUUUUUUUACAAUUAUAGUCCUUUUUGUAACGUUCAGUUUGAGCGGGAGGCACUGAACAGACUGUCGGCACGGCUGUCAACAACAAAUGCACAGCAAAGCUGUAGCUUGAUAUCUCUACCUUUCGAAAACGAUACAAUGAUUUAAAUACUUUAAAGUUUGUAAGGCUGGGGAUACCGUUUCAUAUGUUAUUCAUUUUUUUCUAUUUUUGAGGAAUUUAAGUGUAAGUAGUCACUUACCUACUCAUUUGAUCAUGUUUUCUAGUUAAGUUAACGUUAGUGGAUUCGCCUGAUGGAAAGCUUUUCACAACCUCUUAUGUGCUGUGUUGGAGUGAGAACGGCCCUACUGUAACAGACCCGCCUGACCGUGAAUGGGGAGAUAGAUUGGUGCUCGGAGUUCACUCGCAAGUCUCCAUUAGUGGAGUCGCGUGAAAUGAACAAACUGUGUUUGACUGUGUGUAGGCUUGGUUUGUGAGUGUGUCUCUUCUCUGACAUUGGUGUUGUGCAGAGGGAACCCCAGUCAGUCAGUUAGCUCUGCGGUCACUCUGCCUGCCUUGUUCUCUACUGGGCAUGUGUUGUGUGUUGGACAAGUGGGAACGGGCUGCUGAAGUUUUUGCAGGAUUAACACCCACAACUGCAUGACUGGUGUUUCUAUGGCUUAGAAGGGUUCCUAUUUAUAGAUGUCAGGCCUGGUGUAAAUUACUAUAAACAAUAAACUGAACCUCUACCUCCCUGCCUGCACACACCCCUGUCCAAAACAGUUACCUCUGGCUAGUUACUCACCACAUUAAACUCUACUAUUUUAGGGUGAAAUUAACUCUCUAAAAGACAUGAAUACACCCAAACCAAGUGUGGAAUGGUCACCUUUAAGUCCCUAACCAUUCUAGAUGAAUGCUGAGAAUUUUGGUUUAAUGUGACUGGAUUUUGGUAGUUUGGUUCUGUUAAUAGUGAUUUAUAUUUUGUUCAAUUUAUUGUAAUGAUUUUAUUAAAAUUGCAGUGUCACGUGUGUGGGAGAGGGAUAGUAAGAAAUGUGUUUGUAGGUUGUGUCAUUGAAGUAUAAUUCAAAUGUAGGCCUAUAUUAUAUUUUAGAAAGUGAUUGCCACCUUUAAAAAAUCAAACAUUCUUAGAUAAUGGACAAGAACAUCCCUCCAUACACAAGUACCCAGUUCUUCCAACUUCAGUCUAGUUACACCAUGUAGUUACACCAUGUCAUGGUGUAACUAGACUAAAGUUGGAAGUACAUCUGGGUUAUUGUGUAUGGAGGGAUGUCCUUGAAAAUAAAGCCAUAGCUAAGGAAAUUGCCCUAUUAUGUUAAGUUUGACUUAUUUUCUUUUUAAAAAAAAUAUAGAUUUAUCUAGUGUGCCAUUUUAGUUGUAUGUGAAGUUGCAUGGGACUGCUUUCAAACCUAAAAUCCUUUCCCAGAAUGUAAUAUCAGGCUUCUAUAACUUGUUCAGUAAUUUGAAAUGUAUUUGCAUUUUUGGUACUAGUUGUUGUCUAAACUGAAUUAUGAUAUGACUGCUUUUUAUAUUUGACAGCAUUGUGCAUACAAUCCUCAUAACCUACUUAAAAUAAUCAAAGAAAAAUGAUAACUUUUCCCUCAACUAAAGUCUGGAUGUAUCAACCCUAUCAAAUUAAUUAUUUAAAUGACUGAACCAUUCUACCAUUGAAUAACAAUAAAGCAACAUUUGAACAUUUACAUAAAACAAUUGUCAGUACAGUUGAGAAACUUCUUAGAAAUGUCCAUAUAGCCUACACAACAUAUACGCACAUAGCAGAACAGACUUUUGUGUUACAAAUGAGGCUAAACUAAGUUUGCUCUUGACAAGAGAAUGGUUUGUGAUGGGGGGGUCUAGAGCAUCCUGCCCCUGUGGAAGGGGGUCACUCGACCUUUGCCCCCAGGGUCAGGUCACUCUGAGAAGAUUAUUCAGGGUGCGAGCCAUAGGAACGGGUUAAAAGGCUGAGGAGCAGAGGCGACAAUGGGAGAGAGCAGGGAAAGGUUAAAGCCAUAAUGGUGUGUGUAUGGAUAUUGGGUUGUAGUGACACCUGGUCAGAGCUCCUCUUGGCCCACUGACGCAGUCUGAGGCCUCAUUCACUCACCUGGUUCGUGAGUUAAUUUAUGAUUUUUCAUAAAGGUAAAGCGGGAGCGAGAGAGACCCAGAGAGGGACUGUCUCAAGGAGUGGUGUGUGUGUGUGUGCGCACAAGUGUAUUAUUUUUCUUUAGAUCAAAUCGGGUUCGAUUUAUUUUUCAAUCAACCGGGGGAGUGGGAAUGCAAUUUAAUUAGAAAAAUAUGACAUGCCUGACUUGAAAUGUAAUCAACUGAUAUGAAGUAAGUCUGUAUACUGUAGUUGCUGGUAUGAAAAGUGGGUUAAAGUGGUACAGAUUGUUUAAUUCUUUAUUACAAUGUACAUGAGUCGGAAGCAUUAAUAUUAUUCAGGCAAUAAUUAACACUUCUCGUGUUAGUGACCAGAAUACACCUUUGCUACCGCAGACCUUCAAUUGAAAAAUUAUAUGGAUUUUCACUUUUAAUUAGUGUUCUAGAUAAACCACUAUAAAACUUGGACCUUAUUUUUCUAGUUUUCUUGUCAGCAUCAUGAAAUAUAGGCCAGUUGCAAUUGAGGCCCCCAUUUUAAAACCUCUUUUGAAAAGGGGGCAUAUUUAAGUGACCUCCUAUCUAGAAGUCAUUUGUGGUUUGCUUUGCUGCACAUUUAGUUGUCAGUGGCUUUUUAACUAAUUAUCUGAGAGAAUUUGUAUUCAGUAUGAGGGAAACGGAAAUCUAUUAAUCAUUAGUUUUCUUGCGUGUCUUUUGACCCACCUUGUCCAAAUUAAUAUUUGUGCCUCAGAGAGGGAGAGUGUGUAUUUGUAUCCCUCGCUCACACUCUGUCCUGGUUAAGUACUUUCUGUUCUAUGAACACUUAGCAGAACACAAUGGAGCAGGCAUUAUCUUUGUAACCCAAAAGUACUCAGCCACAGAACACCUGGGAUACUGCCAUCAAUGAUCAACACUAUCCCCUGGUCAUGUAGAUUUUGUGUAUCAUACUUACCAUGGAGUCUUGUACCAGUGAAAAGGCUUCAAGUUGAGGCUCACCAAAAUCUAAAAACUGAAAUGGUAAAAAAUAUGAAAUACUGAAAAGAUUGUGUUAGGAGGCCAUAGGAUGCAAUGAUCUGAAAUUCGAAUAAAUUAAAACACAGCCUAUCAGCUGUUAGUACAAUUUCACCUUGCAAUAUUUUGGGGGGUAAAUGACUAACUAAAGAUAUUAUUUCUCAUAUGGUAUAACUUGAGUGAAAAAUGAAAUCCUGUGAGAAAAUCCUAGGCCAAAUGUCUUUUUAGCUAACUGGCAGUGCUGCUGUUAAUUUAGAAGUUGUAGUGUAAUUAAACUGUGUAAGAUGCCAAAUGUGUUUGUGUUCACUUCUCUGCUCCCACCCUGUAAUACCGGGGCCCAUCUCCCGACAGCACUGUUAACGCUGGGUUAUUUCCUUAUACACCCACAGUUGUCCAAGAUGGCGUCAUUGUUUGAUAAUCAUUAUAAACACCUGCUUAGGGAGUAGAAAAAGCACAUAUUAUUCGCUCUAUCAUCUCUAUCAUUUCAUUUGUUUUCCAAAUGCUUUAUUUUAAGCUCUGACAAGGUCCAGUUGUAAUUCAUGGCGAUGGACUUCAUAUCCUUGGAUUUUGGAUGCCUCUGUUGUACACACAGAUUUGUGGUCAUAUUUUUCACACACAACCCAGUCCCCUUCUAAUAAGUUACACCAAUCAUUUAUGAAGAUGCUAUCGCUGGCUGGCCAAGGGGGAGUGGAUCAUCAACUAAUUAAUGGUCUUCCAGACGUCCCUUUUUUUCUAUUGGUGACAUUGAUCAGAGUUGUUGAAUUGUGCCGUAGUGCAUUAGUGAUAUUACCAGAGAGUGGUUAUCGGACCUGAUCAAAUCAGCGGAAGCAGGCGAUAUUUGGAAACUAGGGUAACCAUAAUUGUGCCUAUGAUGCUAGUUAAUACCACACCAUAACUGCUGUAUCA